GACGAACGCUGGCGGCGUGCCUAAUACAUGCAAGUAGGACGCACAGUUUAUACCGUAGCUUGCUACACCAUAGACUGUGAGUUGCGAACGGGUGAGUAACGCGUAGGUAACCUGCCUAUUAGAGGGGGAUAACUAUUGGAAACGAUAGCUAAUACCGCAUAACAGUAUGUAACACAUGUUAGAUGCUUGAAAGAUGCAAUUGCAUCGCUAGUAGAUGGACCUGCGUUGUAUUAGCUAGUAGGUAGGGUAAUGGCCUACCUAGGCGACGAUACAUAGCCGACCUGAGAGGGUGAUCGGCCACACUGGGACUGAGACACGGCCCAGACUCCUACGGGAGGCAGCAGUAGGGAAUCUUCGGCAAUGGGGGGAACCCUGACCGAGCAACGCCGCGUGAGUGAAGAAGGUUUUCGGAUCGUAAAGCUCUGUUGUUAAGGAAGAACGAGUGUGAGAAUGGAAAGUUCAUACUGUGACGGUACUUAACCAGAAAGGGACGGCUAACUACGUGCCAGCAGCCGCGGUAAUACGUAGGUCCCGAGCGUUGUCCGGAUUUAUUGGGCGUAAAGCGAGCGCAGGCGGUUAGAAAAGUCUGAAGUGAAAGGCAGUGGCUCAACCAUUGUAGGCUUUGGAAACUGUUUAACUUGAGUGCAGAAGGGGAGAGUGGAAUUCCAUGUGUAGCGGUGAAAUGCGUAGAUAUAUGGAGGAACACCGGUGGCGAAAGCGGCUCUCUGGUCUGUAACUGACGCUGAGGCUCGAAAGCGUGGGGAGCGAACAGG
RNAcentral lists this ribosomal RNA (773 nucleotides) under Streptococcus anginosus. RNAcentral's name for it is "bacterial SSU rRNA". It matches the Rfam family "Bacterial small subunit ribosomal RNA", at positions 28 to 776 of the family's 1533-position model. Lineage: Bacteria; Bacillati; Bacillota; Bacilli; Lactobacillales; Streptococcaceae. The record is from RNAcentral.